Elaeis guineensis (African oil palm) is the source of this 1360-nucleotide RNA transcript. RefSeq lists it as uncharacterized. Lineage: Eukaryota; Viridiplantae; Streptophyta; Magnoliopsida; Arecales; Arecaceae. The record is from RefSeq and is a predicted model, not a curated record.
CCUAACGCUGGCUCCCGGCUCCCAUCUUUCUCUCCGCUGCUCUCUCUCUCUGUAGGGGCGAUGCAGAGCGGCCAUGGAGGUCCUAUGUUUCAAACCCUUCGUUAGGGUUUCCGCCGCCCACCUCUCCAGAAACCCUAAGACCACACCCUCCCACUUUAAUCCCUGUGCCACUCCCCAUUCCAAACCCUCGCCCCCCUCAUUCUCCUUCGUCGCCCCUCCAAGAAAACCCCGGUCACUCAAAACCCUAGAAACGUCACCCGAUGCCACCUCCAUCACCCCCUUCUGCUUCCUCCUUCCAAUCUUCCACUCAUUCGGGGGCUUCGUCCUCUCUCGGGCGCCAAAGAUUCGAUCUUGGCUUAAAGGUGGCCUUGACGAAGGGAUGUGUGGGAAUGAUUUGCUAUGUUGUGGAGGGAUUGGGAUGAUGCUGAUGAGUACCACGGCGAUGUUGUCGAAGGCCCAGGUCAGCCCUUUUUUGUGGACGCUGGCCGGGAACCCAACUUUUGUGUCGGGGCUUGUGGCGUGGGCGCUGGCACAGACUAUAAAGAUGCUCUUGAACUUCUUUGUGGAGCGGAGGUGGGACUUCAGGAUGCUGUUUAGUUCUGGAGGGAUGCCAUCGUCGCACUCGGCGCUGUGUAUGGCGCUCACUGCGUCGGUGGGCAUGUGCCAUGGAGCAUCAGACUCGUUAUUUCCUGUAUGCCUUGGUUUCAGCCUCAUUGUUAUGUAUGAUGCGAUUGGGGUGCGGAGGCAUGCUGGGAUGCAGGCUGAGGUACUUAAUAAGAUCAUUGAGGACUUGUUUCAAGGGCAUCCUAUCAGUGAAAGAAAGCUUAAGGAGCUUCUAGGUCACACUCCAUCACAAGUCAUUGCUGGGGCUCUUCUAGGCAUCUUGGUUGCUUGUGUUUGCUGCCAAGGAUAUGUUUUUGCCAUUUAAGUUGAUUCUUCAGAGUUGGGAAAAUUUAGAGUUGAGAAAGCCAAAUAUAACACUUCUGUAUCGAGGUACCGAAGGAUGCUCAGUUAGCCAGAUGAAGGGAACAUAGGCAGAUGGCAUGUGAUUAUAGGACAAGUAGGCAGCAAUUUCUGCCACAUAAUCCUGUUCGACUGGGUAUUUUCCAAUAUCUUAUGAGAAUCCUCUUCUUUGUCAGCCCGGUUGUAAAAAACCUGAAGAUCGGGUUCUCCAAGAGUUCAUCUGCGUAUUGAGAAUUCCUCAGAUCCAUAUGAGAAUUGUUGGGUCACCGUAAAAUUUAUGUCGAGAAUUCUAGUCAUUAGCAGGAGAAGAAUUUAUGUGUUUCCUUUGUGGAUAACUCAUUUGUGUUUGCUAUUUCAUCCAUCAAUUUUCUGGCAGUGGCUUUCAUAUUCGCCUUUU